GAAAAAGAGAGAGGAAGAGACACAGAGAGAGAACGAGAGAGAAAAAAAACAGGGGGAGAUAGCAGGGAGCUCGACUGCAGUGAUCAUUUCUACGGUGUGGCCAGAUUUUUUUUUUUUUCUGCAGCAAUAAUCCCCCUUUCCGGCACUACAGGACACAGGGAAAGCCUGCAAUUUAUGGAAUAUCUGAUGGCUCAGCUUUCCCCUCCUUUCCUCAGAGUCAUGAUGCCAUGUUCACAUUAAGGUGCACUGAGAAGGGGAGAAUGAUGUAUGGCCUGCAGUCCUUCAACCUUCCAGUCAUCUCCACCCUAAGAAAGGCUAGUGAUGAGUCGGCAAGCAUUAGUUGACAGAGAGUCAAAUUAUCAACAGGAUUAAAAAUAAAUAAAUAAAGCGCUCCAGCAACGCUUCCUAAGAAGACCAGCGGGAAGGGCUUACAGACGAGAACUACUCUAUACCCCAGGAGUUUCUGCUGGAAAUAUAGUUUGGUUAACUGGAAAUCCAGGGCGCUGCAGCAUUUAAAGGUAAAACAACAGAAACCCAUUACCAUCUUUACUUUUGGUUCCGCUGCCUCAGCCAAGCCAUCCAGGUGAGGGUUAAUAAACAGAGAAAACCUGGAGAGGUUCCAAAUAAAGUGAGAACUAUAAAGACGAAGGCCAACGCUGCAAACAUCUCAGCCAGAAAGAACACUCUUAGCACCCUACAAGCAGGUAUGUGCUUACCAGCAAACUAAAGCAAAUGGAAAUUAAGAAGCAUGAUCACCACCAGCAAGGUGCUGCUGAACUAUAAGGGUCCUCACUGCACAGCUGCUGUUUUACUCCAGAAGUGGCGAGCUGGGGAUGAGGAAGCACAGGAGACGGCCUUAGGAAAAUCCUCACUCUUCCAGAGAGCUCCAUUUUCACUUCUGCUGGUCCUCACCAUGGGAGAGUGUGGGAUCAAGAGACCAAGGAAAGGCCAACUGAUGUGUUUCAUUCUUCUUUUUCCCCUUCCACUUUAACAUAUUAGAGGAGUGUUAUUUGGAAUUUCGACAUUUACAAAGAGUUUAAGGUUAAAUUAUUCUGGUGGAAAAGAAAAAUGCCAAUCCUUUCCCCUAAAGACAGCAAAACUGGUUAGCAUGAAAAUGCUCCCAGGAUGUUCAAGUCUUUUGGAGUUUCUCCUUACCAAUAACUCUUCAUGAACACCCCUCUGUGAAGUAGCUUGAAACAAU
RNAcentral lists this long non-coding RNA (1201 nucleotides) under Homo sapiens (human). RNAcentral's name for it is "HSALNT0031872". Lineage: Eukaryota; Metazoa; Chordata; Mammalia; Primates; Hominidae. The record is from RNAcentral.